UGCUACCCUCUAAGGAGUGUCUAAUGAGUGCGAGUACGAUACCAGCCGUGUCCCCAUUUCCCCUAGGAUCUCUCUCUCUCUCUCUCUCUCUCUCUCUCUCUCUCUCUCCAUAUUGUAUUUCACUGAAUCUCCAUUCACAAGCCAACGUCAAUCCUUGCAAAUUGAUUCUAACCUUACAUUUUCAGGUAUGCAAAAGCUCAAGCUUUAUCCCAAUUGUAUACGAUUCUGGCCUCACUUAUCUGUACAGCUUUUCUGUGGGCGUCAAAACUUAUUAAUUUGAUCAUCUUUUGUAAACAUUGUUAUGGCUUGUUAGUGUGAAUUUCGAGAAUUGGGGUUUUUUUUUUCAUGUGCCUGUGCCUGUGCUUUUGGAGUUAUGUCAAUAGGCAUGUAAUUCUGUCUCCUAUUUACAUAACUGUAAACCUUUUGGUUAAGCCAGAGGCUAACAUUGCUUUGGCUAUUGUUGAAUCCUUUAUUUUGUGUUUGUGCAUAAGAAACCGUUUUUGAUAUUUUCAAACCUUGUGGUGCAUCAGUAGGUAAUACUUCCUGUAUGCCAAUGCCAUUGCACUUGCUAGAUUAGAGUUUCCAAUCUAGUGCUGGUCUCUUCAAUUCUUUUUGAUAAAUUAGUCGAAGAGAUUAGAUUUUGGUGAUGUGCUUCUUCAAGGAGACCAAUCCACAGCCUAGAAGCACACCUUAUGGCAGGCAAUUGUAGAUUUUACUGAUGGACAAGCCAGUAUACACAGGUAAAAUGCAGUGGGCUUAUCUUGGCGGAGCCAUGUUGGUACAAUUGACCGCAGUGAUUUGGCAGCAUUUUCUGCAGUACACACAAGGCCUGUUAAACAAAACUAUGAGAGAAUAAUCCAGUGUGAUAAGCGUCUCAAUCUUGUUAGCCGGCAGCCUGAUUUGGUUCUUGAUUCACCAUAUUUUGACGUUCAAGCCUCUGCCAAAGGAUCUCCCACCUCCAGCUUCGAUGACAUGGAAUCAACUCCAGCAGCAAGAUUGGACAGAAUUCUGCUGGUUUAGUGCCAGAGCAUUUGUUGCCACAAGCUCCUUCUCCUAGCUCAGUGAUGGAUUUGCGUGCAAUAGACGGGAAUGAAAGUCGUGGAGGAAACGGUCUUCAGGCGCAACAGUCUAUGUCCAUGAGCAAUCUUGUGAAUCACAUUGGACACAAAAUUCCAAAAUGAAAGAGUUCCGGAAACACAUCUGGAUUUAAGGAAACAAUAGAAUGUCAGGACACGCAGGAGAACAUUGCUCAAAUCCUUCUGGGUUGAUACACAGUGUCCAACAGCAUCUGAUGAGAAGAAACUCAUGUCGAGAGUCAACUCCCUGUGCUGCCUCCUUCAGGACCCCACUGCGGGCCCCAGUAUGAAGUUUGGCGCUGAAACUCAACUUGAAGGAGUUGAUUAUGGAAUGAAGAUUCAAGGGAACCAUGUUACUGAGUCAAUAGGGGAUCUUCAACCAAGGACUGGGUAUGUCAAGGAAGGAUUCCAUUGGCGAUUUUCUGCUUAAUAUACCCCGGAUAUCAUUGCUGCCAAAGUUCUUGUUCAAUAUAUUGGAAGAUGGCGAAAACUAAGCUGACAGUGGAUUUUAUUACUCCUUAAGUCCCAUUUUGUUUGUCUAUUUUUCAAAAUCAUACUCUUAAUCACAUCAACAAAUAAUGUAUUUCAGAGAAUAAUUUCUGAAAAUGCACAGACAAAAUGUGACGGAAGUAGUAUUUAACAAUUCAAUAUGCAGAGAGAAUUGAGCUAUUGAGAUUCUGAGUCUCUUGUUUGUCACCCAGUAUUUGGACAUGGAGGAGUUUCUGGGGUUCGGAGAACAUGUUUUGAUGAAGAAUCCUGUUAAAACUGCCUGUACAAGGAUCGGUGUUCUAGAUCCAUUCUACUGACAAGUUGUAUUGAUUGUUUUUAACAUCAAUGGUAUUAUUAUUAUCACUUGA
Rhododendron vialii is the source of this 1933-nucleotide long non-coding RNA. RefSeq lists it as uncharacterized. Lineage: Eukaryota; Viridiplantae; Streptophyta; Magnoliopsida; Ericales; Ericaceae. The record is from RefSeq and is a predicted model, not a curated record. The transcript is spliced from 3 exons.